Molecule: non-coding RNA, 521 nt
Filed under: uncultured Glomus
Lineage: Eukaryota; Fungi; Glomeromycota; Glomeromycetes; Glomerales; Glomeraceae
Also listed under: 1 other name
Description: SSU rRNA
Rfam family: Eukaryotic small subunit ribosomal RNA
Source: RNAcentral
AGCAGCCGCGGUAAUUCCAGCUCCAAUAGCGUAUAUUAAAGUUGUUGCAGUUAAAAAGCUCGUAGUUGAAUUUCGGGACCAUCAUGUCGGUCGUGCCUCGGUACGUACUGGCAUUGUUGGUUUCUCCCUUCUGACGAACCAUGAUGUCAUUUAUUUGGUGUUGUGGGGAAUCAGGACUGUUACUUUGAAAAAAUUAGAGUGUUUAAAGCAGGCUCACGCUUGAAUACAUUAGCAUGGAAUAAUGAAAUAGGACGUUUGAUUCUAUUUUGUUGGUUUCUAGGAUCGACGUAAUGAUUAAUAGGGAUAGUUGGGGGCAUUAGUAUUCAAUUGUCAGAGGUGAAAUUCUUGGAUUUAUUGAAGACUAACUACUGCGAAAGCAUUUGCCAAGGAUGUUUUCAUUAAUCAAGAACGAAAGUUAGGGGAUCGAAGACGAUCAGAUACCGUCGUAGUCUUAACCAUAAACUAUGCCGACUAGGGAUCGGAUGAUGUUAAUUUUUUAAUGACUCAUUCGGCGCCUUACG